This 2644-nucleotide long non-coding RNA is filed under the name Aquilegia coerulea. Its description in RNAcentral is "long non-coding RNA (ACOE_LNC001393)". Lineage: Eukaryota; Viridiplantae; Streptophyta; Magnoliopsida; Ranunculales; Ranunculaceae. The record is from RNAcentral.
CUAUUUAGGGUUUUUUUGUUUUACUAAUAUAACUUAUGGCCGUCCAAAUUGCCAAAUUUCUAGGCGCCAAAUGUUAUUUCCUUCCCUCUCGAAAUUUUCCCCUAUCUAAAUUAAAAUACUUUUUAGGUUUUACAAUUUUUCUAAUUAGGCUUCAAAGAACUAAACUAAACUCCAUCAACUGUUUUGCAAACUGAAAGAAGUGAAGAAUGGUUCGAUCUAAGUGAAGAAUCGAUCAAUCGAAGUGAAGAAUCAAUUCCUCACAGGUAUGGGUUUUUCAUUUUCUUCUUCUCUUUUGUUUUUGGGGUUUUUCUUUCUCUUCUUCUCUUUCUAUUUUAUCUUUCUUACUCAAUUCCUUUUUAUUUCUCAUCUUCUUCUUCGUUUAGUUAAAAAAAAGUCAUGGUUAAUAAAGUUUGAUUUUUCAUUGAAUUCGAAAGAAAUUUCUUGUUUUUCAUUCAAUUGAUGAUCUGUAGUUAAUAAAGUUUUUUUUUUUUUUUUUUUUUUUUUAAAUAGUUGCACGAACUUGAAGAAAAUUGGAAGGAACUGCUCUCCCUCUCUCUUAUCAAUUCGCACAGGUUUGUGGUAUAAUCCGCAUCUUAAAUUGAUCUUAUAAUUUCCAAUUUAUCUAAAAUUAGUUGAAUAAUUAUGUUUAUAUAUUUUUCCUAUUUCAACACAUCAGAAGCUUUACUCUUUUGAUUUUUGCAAAUUCACAACUUCUCUGAUCAAUUAGACUACUCUGGGCCUGCUACUUCAUUUACAAAGAAAGGUACAUCAACUAGCCCGAAAAAUGAUUAUUUAGUGUCUGUCAUAUCAGUUAUAUCAUAUCCUCAUUUGGGAAGUGUCCCCUGGCGGCUGUCCUACCAGGCCGUUUAUAUCUCUACACUAGUUGUUUAGGUUUGUAAGUAUCAACAUCUGUUUAUCAUAGAGGAGGUGCGACGAUUACAGUUGUUAUACCAUGUGCAUUGUGCAACUACAUAACUGAGAGCCGCCAGAUCCUUGUAUGUGAGGCUCUUGUAACCUGAACAUAAUGGAAAUCAAAGACAGACUCCAGCAGUACAGAGACAAAUAGACACCAACCCUGAGUCUGCAAAGCCCCAUUAAACAGUUAACCUGCUUCAAUCAUCACUCCUGGCCAGUCAUUCAAUAAUUCUCCAAAUCAAAUAUCCUUCUUGAGGUCCAGACUGGUUUUAUCUAUGUUAAGCCAUGCUCAAAUCAUAGACUUCACCAUCACCACAGCUUUGUGCAACCCCAUUUCUUGUCUGCCAGAUGCACCAGAGCACGACAUAUGGCAGAAUUGCCAAGAUCUUCUCACAGAUGCUUCUGCUUCUGAUCCUAGGCCAUCCCUUCAGUAGUUGUUAAAGAGUGAAAAGAAUGAAAAUCAGCAGCAACCUACCCUUUGUUCUGCAGCUUGUCCAUGGUUAAAGUUUUGUCCCAAUGGUGUAUUAGAAUUUUAAGAUGUGAUUGUAUAUCUUCUACUUGUUUUUUAUAAAAGUUGCGCAAACCGUUACUAUGUUUUCUCCUAACAAAUGUUGUUCCUUUUUAUCUUUCAGACGAUAUUGCAACGAUUUGACAAGUUUAUUUUUUGUUCAUAGAUUAAUAUGAUUUUCAAGACUAUAGUACUAAGUCUAAUGACGAGACUUUUGCAUGCAAGACAGUAUAUCUAUUGAGAUGUAGUCAUUACAUAUGUAUCUCUGUAGGUAACCAUGAUUUUUAUCAUCCUAUAUUAAUGCAGGGAAUGAUAUGGUUCCAUCUUAUGCUAAAAAGGAAGCAAGUCAAUAAGCCGAGUAUAUACUGACACUUGAAAUUUCUGUCAUUUUUCUUUUGCAGGUGGCCUAGUUGCAGAAGUCUCUAUAUGUUCAAAGUUCUUAAAGAGUAAGAUAUCCUUUCUGCCUCAUUUAUACUUUUUUCUUCUAGGUUUAUGAAUGCGAUGUUGUAAUAAAUCAGCAAUUUUUACUCCGUCUUGUUUAAGUUUAUUAUAAAUUGUCCACUCUGAAAUGUCAUAUUUCCUUAGAAUUGCAAGAAUCCUUGAUUUUACACUGUGUAAAUUCUUAUUAUGCUUUUUGCAUGUCUUAAUAGGUUAGUGGUCUUAUGCUACCUGUUUAGCAAGUGUUUGUUCGAGUAUGAGAAGAUGAGGAGGGUUAAUCUCAACUUAUCACUUGUCAGAAGCUUCCCAUUUUUGUUGUAAGUGAAAUGCUCUUUUCUGUAUUUAUACUAAAAACCUAGUAUCACAUAAGGUCCAUCUAGGGAUUAAAUGUUAUAUAAGGUAAGAGUAGUACUAUUAAGGAUGGGAAAAGAAAGUCCCCUCCUAAGUUCUUAUCUAAUUCUGAUCUUUGGUGCAAAAGUGGUUUUAGAUAAAUGGCUGAUAAAGCUUGCAGGUUCAAUGAAACAGAAGACUAAACAACAACAACAACAGGACAUGAAGACGACUCUGAAGAUAAGGACGUAGUCUUAUGUUUUAUUUGAGAUAUAUUGUAUGUAAUAUCUUUGUUUUUUUCCCUAGGAGGGCAUGUCCUCUAGGAGGUUUUCUUACAUGACCUGGCAUAGAUUUGGCUACUGAUCAGGAGCUGUACAAUUUGUUUUGACUAGAAUUAAUAAAAUUUUACCUUUGAUAAAUAAUCAUUUUCGAUGUAAUAAUGCAAUUAUGUAU